CUACGGGAUGCUCCAGUAAGGAAUAUUGCACAAUGGGGGAAACCCUGAUGCAGCAACGCCGCGUGGACGAAGAAGGCCUUCGGGUCGUAAAGUCCUUUUCUGAGGGAAGAGGAAGGACGGUACCUCAGGAAUAAGUCUCGGCUAACUACGUGCCAGCAGCCGCGGUAAAACGUAGGAGGCGAGCGUUAUCCGGAUUCACUGGGCGUAAAGGGCAAGUAGGCGGUUGUUUAAGUUAGGUGUGACAUCUCUCGGCUUAACUGGGAGGGAGCGCUUAAAACUAGGCAACUAGAGGGCGGAAGAAGGGGGUAGAACUCCAAAUGUAGCGGUGGAAUGCUCAGAUAUUUGGAAGAAUACCAGUGGCGAAGGCGACCCCCCGGUCCGUGCCUGACGCUGAGAGGCGAAAGCUAGGGUAGCGAACGGGAUUAGAUACCCCGGUAGUC
RNAcentral lists this ribosomal RNA (440 nucleotides) under uncultured bacterium. Its description in RNAcentral is "partial 16S ribosomal RNA". It matches the Rfam family "Bacterial small subunit ribosomal RNA", at positions 339 to 795 of the family's 1533-position model. The record is from RNAcentral.